AGUCUAGAGCGUGAAAUCCCCGGGCUCAACCCGGGAACUGCGCUUGAUACUGGAAGACUAGAAUWCGGAAGAGGGUAGUGGAAUUCCCAGUGUAGAGGUGAAAUUCGUAGAUAUUGGGAAGAACACCAGUGGCGAAAGCGGCUACCUGGUCCGAUUUUGACGCUGAGGCGCGAAAGCGUGGGGAGCAAACAGGAUUAGAUACCCUGGUAGUCCACGCCGUAAACGAUGUCUGCUAGAUGUCGGGGGGUUGCCCCUCGGUGUCGC
This 264-nucleotide ribosomal RNA is filed under the name uncultured bacterium. Its description in RNAcentral is "partial 16S ribosomal RNA". It matches the Rfam family "Bacterial small subunit ribosomal RNA", at positions 586 to 849 of the family's 1533-position model. The record is from RNAcentral.